GACUCAGUUUAAAUAUUUGUUCAGGAUGACCAUCCAUACCUGAGACCUUAUGAAUUCUGCAGCUGACUUUCAGGAAAUUUCUUCAGGAAAUUUCUGCAAGAACAAAGGAGCACAGCUAUUCAGUGUGGAAGUUUCUUUGGCAGUUUUUAUCUGCUUAAUAGUUGUUCUGCCACUCGUCAGUGCUGAAGGCUAUGCUUUCACUGGGGUAUAACAAGAUGGUGGACUCCUGUCUGCACUACUCCAUACCACUGGUCAGGGUUCUGAAAAAAUGGGACACAGCCUUGACUGGCUCUCAGCCUGCCAUGCGGGAACAUGGAAGGAAGAGUACAGAUGGGCUAGGAGUGGACUGCUGGGCACUCUGGGAAUCUAUCCCCAACACAAGGUUUCUCUGUAAACCAAGAGGACAUUCUCAGACCAUCAGUCAGACAAUAUGCCAGUUGGAGCUGGCAUCUGAAUGGACUGUGACAGAUGCUGGAUUUCACUGUGUUGAUUUUAAAUACCAAGCAUCAGAUCUGGUCAGUAUUGAAGUUUAUCUAUCCUUGAUCUCUGACCAUUUAUCUCAUUUUAACAGUGUCUAAUCUGUCAGUAGUACAAAACCAAACUGGUUAAGUAGUACAGAAAUGUGUUGCAGAGUGCCUUAAAAGGCAGAAACAGCCAUUUGUGCUCUGAUUCUAUUAGACCUGAAAAACUAAUCAAGGUUAAGCCUGGAUAGGAAUAGUGGAGGAAAUUUCCAAGGAUAAGCUAGACUAAGAAAGGUAAUACUUAUCAAUUUUUGUCAUUAUCUCAAAUAUUAUGAAGAAAAUGUCAGUAUACUUCAGAUCAGAGACUGUUUUUUUAUUAUUAUUUUUUGAGUGACAUAGUGGUAAAAAUUGAAACCUGAAGACCUGUUUGCUUCCAUUGCUAAAAAAUACCACAGUAUAUAAAAUGUUUAUAAAAGAUAGUAUGUGUUCUUGAUCCAAAACUUGCAAUAGAAAGGCACAGCAGUAUUUCUGUAGAGUACAGUAAAUAAUUUUUUUAAGGAAACCCACAAAAUUGUUUUUGUGAGCAAUGUAGCUGAAAACCAUAAAGGGUAGGUGACAACUUACAUGGAGAGCAAUUGUCUUUUCUAGUAUCCUGAGCUCAUAUGUUGUCACCAUAUUCAAGGAAUAUCUGCAGAUUGCAGCUGCAAUUCAAUCUCAUUUAAUGAGAAAUUGUGGUCGCUGUUAUGAACUCAUGAAAAAUCGCUAAAUUUUCCAUCACAUACACAAUAAAAAUACAUCAUAAUGAGACUGAACA
This 1275-nucleotide long non-coding RNA is filed under the name Zonotrichia albicollis (white-throated sparrow). Its description in RNAcentral is "lncRNA (ENSZALG00000004818.1)". Lineage: Eukaryota; Metazoa; Chordata; Aves; Passeriformes; Passerellidae. The record is from RNAcentral.